Pterulicium gracile is the source of this 99-nucleotide non-coding RNA. Lineage: Eukaryota; Fungi; Basidiomycota; Agaricomycetes; Agaricales; Pterulaceae. The record is from the annotation of a GenBank genome assembly.
GCCCGCCUAGCUCAAUCGGAUAGAGCGUCAGACUCUUACGAGAUCCUGGCUUAGGCGUUGGGCAUCUGAAGGCUGGGGGUUCGACCCCCCCGGUGGGCU